Long non-coding RNA from Pollicipes pollicipes, 754 nucleotides. RefSeq lists it as uncharacterized. The record is from RefSeq and is a predicted model, not a curated record. NCBI's taxonomy places the organism in Eukaryota, Metazoa, Arthropoda, Thecostraca, Pollicipedomorpha, Pollicipedidae. The transcript is spliced from 3 exons.
AGACUUUCUCAGUGUCGAAACCAAGGCAGACAGAUUUUUCCUCGGACCUCGCUUUGGAAAACGGCAACAGGAUUCUUUCACCAUAGGUGGCGCCGUCGGCGGGCAGCGGCUGCCGGAUGUGCUCAGCGACGGCUUCUCCUUCACCUGCGUCGCCGUCGAGCCGGACAACAUCUACCGGUGUCGCCCCGCGCAGCGGCUGGGGAGCAGUGGCAUGUGAUGGCGGCACCGCCUCCGGCACCCGGCCCCAGCGGUCACCGUCGACUGAAGACCAGCUGGGCCCGCAGAGGCCGCGUCCGCUGUGUGGGGCGCUGGCCAGCCGGGCCGCACCCGCUGAAGCCACACCUGCAUACUGUCACGUCUGAAGGCGCCCGGCUGACGGCCAAGGCCCGUUCCGGCUACUGACCACAGCCACCCCUCCGUCCCCACCCCCGCCCGAGCCGAGCCGACCUUGUCGGACUGUCAGAGGAGUCGGCUCUGCUCUGACAGAGGUCUGUUUUGCCGGGCCGCCUGCCGGGUGCGGAGCGGUGCCUAGCCUUCCGGACGCGUCCCUCACCGGCGGCUGGAGCGAUCUCCUGUGUGAGGAAGCAAGGGCGCGUUUGAAAUCCUAUGAAUCUGGGGGCUGGAAACGUCGAUUUGAUUUCAGUCGGGAAAAAUUGUACGAUGACGCCUUGUUUUGGCGUUGUUCCUUUCUGUCGGGUUUAAAGGGGAUAUUGUCUGUUGGUUGAGUUAGCGACGUAGUGCGUUACAUUGUUCA